RNAcentral lists this ribosomal RNA (497 nucleotides) under uncultured bacterium. RNAcentral describes it as "partial 16S ribosomal RNA". It matches the Rfam family "Bacterial small subunit ribosomal RNA", at positions 28 to 507 of the family's 1533-position model. The record is from RNAcentral.
GAUGAACGCUGGCGGCGUGCGUAAUACAUGCAAGUCGAGCGAACAGACGAGGAGCUUGCUCCUCUGACGUUAGCGGCGGACGGGUGAGUAACACGUGGAUAACCUACCUAUAAGACUGGGAUAACUUCGGGAAACCGGAGCUAAUACCGGAUAAUAUAUUGAACCGCAUGGUUCAAUAGUGAAAGACGGUUUUGCUGUCACUUAUAGAUGGAUCCGCGCCGCAUUAGCUAGUUGGUAAGGUAACGGCUUACCAAGGCAACGAUGCGUAGCCGACCUGAGAGGGUGAUCGGCCACACUGGAACUGAGACACGGUCCAGACUCCUACGGGAGGCAGCAGUAGGGAAUCUUCCGCAAUGGGCGAAAGCUUGACGGAGCAACGCCGCGUGAGUGAUGAAGGUCUUCGGAUCGUAAAACUCUGUUAUUAGGGAAGAACAAAUGUGUAAGUAACUAUGCACGUCUUGACGGUACCUAAUCAGAAAGCCACGGCUAACUACGUG